UACGUAGGGGGCAAGCGUUGUUCGGAAUCAUUGGGCGUAAAGCGGGUGUAGGCGGCUCUAUAAGUCAGAAGUGAAAGCCCCAGGCUUAACCUGGGAAGUGCUUUUGAUACUGCAGAGCUUGAAUGUGGGAGAGGGUAGUGGAAUUCCAGGUGUAGUGGUGAAAUACGUAGAUAUCUGGAGGAACACCGGUGGCGAAGGCGGCUACCUGGCCCAACAUUGACGCUGAGACCCGAAAGCAUGGGGAUCAAACAGG
This 253-nucleotide ribosomal RNA is filed under the name uncultured bacterium. RNAcentral describes it as "partial 16S ribosomal RNA". It matches the Rfam family "Bacterial small subunit ribosomal RNA", at positions 524 to 776 of the family's 1533-position model. The record is from RNAcentral.